UAUUGGUCAGAACCUGAAUGUUAAACAGCAUGAGAGUACUGCUUAAGUGUGCCUUUCGUAAGAUUCAUCAUCAGAUAUUGUGAAGACCAGACUAGAAACAUUUUUCUUAAUGAAAAAAAGUUGUGAAGAAAGUCUACAGCAAACUUCAAACUGACAAAAUAUAGGAUACAUUCCCAUACAAGACAGGAACUAUGUCUAGUAAAAACCCAAGGCUGAGCAAGGAAAUGGUAUGUUUCAAGACCAAGAGAAAGACUUGAUCUAAAGGCCCAAAUGGCAGCUUUGCCCCAAGGGAGGUAAAAACUCAGCCAGGCUUCUCCAAGUUUCUUUACAAUUCAUGGCAAACUGUGGUGGGAAAUGUUUAUUAUGUAUUAUUAAGUGGAAAAAACACAGAAUAAUAUCUAUGCCCUGAUUACAGUUAUGUUAACCUUC
Long non-coding RNA from Panthera uncia (snow leopard), 429 nucleotides. RefSeq lists it as uncharacterized. The record is from RefSeq and is a predicted model, not a curated record. The transcript has 2 exons. NCBI's taxonomy places the organism in Eukaryota, Metazoa, Chordata, Mammalia, Carnivora, Felidae.